GCAGCAGACAGCAGCCGCGAUCAGACAGAGAUGCGCCGAGCUGCGGGGAGGGGAGAAACGGGUGGAAAACAGAGGUCUCCCGAGAGCUCCACAAGCCGAUAGUCGGAACCCAGCUCCACCAACAUGUUAUAUUUCAACCUAUUUUCUAAAGCGCAGCAUUAUGUUAAAUGCACUGGGGUUUACCCUAUUACAUUUAAAUUUCAUGGUUAAACAGUACAUGUUAAAAUCUAAGCUCAGCUCGGCAGUAACCUAAAAUACAUAAAUAUGAUUUUAAUUUCCGAAAUAAAUGAAGUACAGACUCCUUGGAUGCUCUAUUAGUGCAAUUAAUGCCCCAGCAAGUCAUUUUGUCCAACAAUUGCACAAAAAAUAUCCAAAACUGAAUACACAAACACAGAGACUCAAAAUCCCGGAACAGUUUCCAAGCCAGACCGAGGCUCUACUGAGGCCUUUCCACGGAGCUAGCUCUGUGGUCACGUGGGUCUGAUGCUCAUUAAUUAUACAGAAUUUUAGGCUUUUAAUACACUUAAACAGAAGAGUGAGAAAAAAAAUUCACCCCCCCUCAGAGUUGUCAUGAGUGUAAACUAGAUCAUUUAAACCAAAAACAUGGUCUGGUACCAGGCUGUAAGCAUGUUUAUUUCUGCUGUGAAACUGGUAUUUUUAAUAUGGGAGUCAAUAAGGAUUUGCUCGCUUCUGACACCAGCCCCCAGCGGAUGAGGGUGGAACUGCAAUUUUUGGUAUUUCCGGGUUGGCCUCAAUUUUUGAGCCGCAUUGUGGGGGCUUGGCUACAUCCCACAAUGCAUUGCGACAUAAUGUCACAAUCUAUUUUUAGCUACUGUAGAAUAUGCUAUUAGGGGUGUGUCACUUUAGGCACAGACAAAAGGAAAUGCCUUAUUUGGCGCUAGAGAGCAUAACAGCGUCACCGCCAUUUUGUAUGGGUCUCCUCAUUCUCCAAAGUCAAAGCAGAUCGAGCAACUACCAUUUUUUUGUGCAGCCUAUGGUUGCAUGUUGUCGAGGUUCAUUUGGCUGAAGAGGAAGUCCGGAUGGCCUGUCCGAGACUUCUCUAGAAUGCUUUGAACUAAAGAAAAGGUGGCGUGGAAUAGGUUUUAUAAUUGUCAUAUUUUGGUUUACUGGCGAAUCAGAAUUUGUAAUGCAAAAAGAGGGUUUAUACAAACACCAAAUAAAACCACGCCUCGUGUCAGAAACGAAGGUUUUGAUUGGAUCAGACAAAAGGAAAUGUGUCAUGUGACUUUAGCAUUACGUGUCAUCAGUGUCUAGUGCAAAUGUCCAGGAUUAUAAUUACUUGUAAAAUACUACUGAUCACAGGAUUAUAAUAUCAAGUAAUAACAUUGUCAUUUCACAGAAUGAUUAAACAUUGGGCUCACCUUAUUAUUGGCAAUAACAAACGUUGUGUGAUUAUGUAUUUAUCAAAAGAGUUCUUUGUCUUCGUCUUCAGCUGUAAAGGUGAAGCAGUUCAGAUGAGUACAGGGCAUGAAAGACCUUGACCAAUAUCUCAUGUAGAUUAGGCCUGUGUCAGAGACUUUAUGUCUCUGCUCGAGCAGACGCAGCAGAUCAUGACCUUUAGGUCAAAACAGGACAUUUCAUGACGCUACAUAUACCCCCUUUUCAAGGGCAUGGUGGUCCAGGCAGAGACCACCUGACGUUGAACAAACCAGAGGCCAGAAGGACUCCGUCGAGAAAGCAAGGUGUAAUUUCCCAGGCAGAGGCCAAAAGUGGUGAGGAACGAACCCCACACCGAAAGACAGUCGCGGAUAAUUUCCUUUGAAAGCAGUUAAUCAACAGUCAGCAGAUCAUUAAUAUAUCCACGGGAAGGGAAUAAUUCAAACAGUAAUUUGAUCCUUGUAAUAGCACUUAGCGUAAUCCAGAGUAGGAAGAAGAUGAGCAGGCAACAGAUCAGGUCCCAGCGAACGAAGUAUCCCAGCAGCCAUAGCCGAAAUCAACGGAUGUCCAGGUCCAACAUGCCGAACACCAGGCAGCAAGCAGCAGAGUCCGAUGACGAAUCAUAGGGCCACCCCCAGGAAUCGAGGCUUAUCGGCAAAACUCAGCAGAGGAGAGUGAGCACAACACAGGGCACUUCAUUGUAGACACAAACAAAUGGCAUCUGAUGCAAAUCAACAAAUAAAAAGAAACCUGUCAACAUGUGUGCCUGUAUGUACUAUGUGAAGCAAUUAUGUGAACAGAGCCCAAAUGAAGAAAUGGAUGCAAUACACUACGUGUACUGGAAAAAGUGGUGUAAAAGAGCAAAAUAACAAAACACUAUAAUAUAUGUAAGGGGAAAAUCACGCCACUAAGCAAAAAUGUUAUCAAAAUGAGGGCAAAAAUGGUUGUAGUCCAUAACUGGUGAAUCAACAAGUUAAUCAAAAAGUUAUCAAACUCAACUGUAAAUAACAAUAUAAAAGUAGAUAUAUGAGUGUCAAAGAGCACUAAAAUGUAAAUCAGUGAAGUUAGUAAUCAUCCUAUAUGUGAAUGUACCCCAUAAGGAAUUAAGAUUAGUGAAAAUAAAAACAAAUUUGGAUAACACAACAGAAUGUGUGUUACGUGCUCUGUCCCUUUUCAGCCACAAGAUGGCCUUAGUGGCUUCAGCCUCGUCCAUCUCCUGCACAGCUGUGGGUAAUGGGCAAUCAGGGAGCAGCUGUUAAAAGCUGCUCUCCUGCCCACUGUCUUUGAGAAGGUACAGGGUAGUAUAGACUCUUCUGGAGUUUGUACUAUUCUCUUCUCCUCGUCUGCUUUGGUAAAAACUCGUUCGCUCGCUAGUAAUCGUUACACACUCUUUCGGAUUUCGGAUUUGGAUUUAUAGGAUUUGACAAUUUGGCUUUUCUGACUUAGGAACUUAUUUUGACUUCGAUUUAGGAUCUCCCCAGAGCUUCCUCCUUUUUGGUAGUUUGCCCCCAUCCCCUUCUGGGUUGGUGUCUCCUUUUUGUAUAUAACUCCUUUCUGUUUUGUAUAUAGUUAAUUAUCACGUCCUUUGUAAAUAUUACUUUUUGUAAUAAAAUUUUUGUUUUAUUGCGGCACUGCACUUUGUUAUUAUUUCUCCCACACACCAAUUUUAUUACUCCCCUAUCCUCAUCUCUCCUAGAGAGCCGGGGACGUAAUAAUGUGGAAUAAACCCUUUUACAAUUAAAACUUACUCAUUACCUGACUUCGGAAACCCACAGCAUGACCAUCUCAAAUCACCCAAAUCUGCAUGUCAUGUAUAAAUAGGAAAGACAACCAUGCACACACACAAACAAACUUGUGUAACCUGAAACGGGACCAUGGGACAGACGACGGAAAAUAGAGAUCACCCCAUUUGCAAGGUAGAAGGCCUAGCUGAAGGCACGGGAGGUGACAAAGGAGGUACAGGUGCAGGAGCGUCCGGCGCAGGUUGCAGUAUCUGGACUGCCGGGGCUUUGCGGACAACCGGCACGAGAUGGGCGGCCACAGGCGUUGCGGACCGAGUCCCGUAGAGAGGUCAUCCGUGCGGAGAAGUAACGGAACAGGAAAAAUGACAACCCCAAUGACAGACAAAAGUUUAAGCAUGCAGUGAAUAACACGAAAGAAUCAGCGGAGGACCAGGAGUAAGACACUGGUUUAAACCUGAGACCGGGAUCUGCCGACAACUCACACAGCACCCUGUUUACCGCACCAACCCGAACCAUGGUUGGACCACUGAACAUAACACGAUCCACCGUAGCUGGAGAAAGAGCAAAGGAGAUGUUAUCAUAGAAAGAAGAAAACUCCACAACAGACUUAUGCUCACCAGGAUCCAAGUAAUAUAGAGAGACCUCACCUACAUGGACCGUAGCACUACGUGGAACUGUCACCCAUAGGGUUUGGGACGGAAGCAAAACACAUGUGGACACACUGUGACGCUCAUAGAAGACAUCCGCUUCACGAGCAGGGGUAUUAACUAGCCAUCGAUCAUCAACCACAACAGUCGUAGUUUGAACCACAUGUGAACGUGGAGUCACAGUCAUAGGACAUUUAGAAUCAACCGACAACUCAUCAAUGCCACACACACCAGUGGCACCGCCACGCAGAAAAGGUGUGCCUGGACACAAGAAGUGCAGGCCACGUGUGAGAGAACACACGCGCAGAUCCGGGACCAACCGGACGUGCGGCGUGUCCUCAUGGAACGCAACGACUGGAGGCGUAUGUAACCUGACAUGAGUGUCGUCAACCCAAUUUCCUACAUUUACCACAUCUUUUAGUCGGUAGAUGUCAUCUGGAGAUACAAUAGGUAAGUUGAUGAUGAAAGCUAGCUCUCUAGCAUCUGGAUUGACACUUAAUGGCACUGCCCAAUGAGAAAGCCAAGUGAGUCUGAAGGGCCAUCGGGUCCUUCGAUGUCACUCGAGCAUCGCAGAUCGGACCAUGGCCAGGGACACGAGGUACGGAGGAUCCUCCCCAUGAGGAGGGUAUCGAUCGAGGCGCUCACGUCCCGACCGCAGAGACAUCUGCUCGAGCAGACGCAGCAGAUCAUGACCUUUAGGUCAAAACAGGACAUUUCAUGAUGCUACAGCUUUAUAUUUUAAUUAUUUCAGCUUUUGUUUAAUUAUAUAUUGUUUUAUUUAACUUAUGCCAUACCGUAAUACUGAUUUUGGGAAAAAUAUGUGUUAUUUUAGUUGAGUUAAACACCUUCCUUAUGUGGCAAGGUGGACAAACGAGGGCCUGGGCGGGAUUCGAUCCCCAGACUCCCGGGUGAGAGUCAUACGCUCUAACCAGUCAGCCAAAGGAACAACCCCUUGGCCAAGUAGCCAGGGCGUAUCAUCUAUCGGGACACUGUGACAGGACACUCACACUGCCACACUUAGUAGAAAUGAAUGCACUGGGGGCAAACAGAGACCCAUCCAAGAUGGCGACCAGCCACUACAGCAGUUCCAAUAUGCAGUACCAAUAGAGUGUUCAUAUGUCUGUGAUGUCAGCUCCCUCAAGAUUUGAUUUUUCAGGGUCCUUUGGUUUGAUUAUUAAGCAAUAAUUAUAAUUACCACAGUUACCACUAUUUUGGUGCAUUUUUUUCACUGUUGAAGUUUGUUUUCCCCUAUCAUAGCGUUUUCAUACUUUCAAAUUAUUUCAGCACACAUUAAUUCAAGUUACCAAAUACCUUUUGCUAGCUGAGACAACAAACUGAGAUGGUGAUGCAGAGAUCCGGGAGGUUCUAGCAUUUAGAUCUGAAAUUCAGAUCACCAGAUAGUUCACGUGGGACUGUAAAGGGGACAGCCACCUUUUGGAGCAGCUUGUGAAAAAACUUAAGGUGCGUAGUUUCAAUUGGCAUAAAAAAUCAAGUUAUGUUAAAGCUAAGAGGAAGUUCGUGACAGCAUGGAGAUGGUCCCACACCAACUUUAUACCACCAUCUUUGUGAAAACACAUGAUCAAAUGAGCAAAGGCUUCCUGGUGCUGCUUCAGCUUUGCAGCAAUGUAGCCCCAUUGUUUUAUGAGAAAGGCUGGAGCUACGGGCAAGUUGGUCCUUCCUCGAUUGCUCGACUGGUUAGGAUGAACAAUCACUGGCUUCUUCUUUUGUCUAAUCAGGGAUGGAAAUAUGUAAGGUGCUGUUGUGUGCUGGUAGAGUUGCUGUUGUUUUUUAUUCUAAUAUUACACAACUUUCUUUUAAUUCUGAUGAGUAAAUCCCACACUAAUUGGCUAAUGCUGAGAAACAAGCUGACGCCAUUGUUGUGUUGUUUUUACUGCUGGUCCAGCCCACUAAAGUGUCCAGUCGGCACAUGGAUCUAAGAGCUAACAGCAGUAAAAACUCUCAAAACAAAAACUAACAUCACAUCAUGAAAGAACCUCAAGUGUGAAAAGUUGGACUGGAUCAGGUCCUGACAUUUACAUAUGACAUUUGAAACUCUGGCUUUGAGGCGUGGAUUGAGAAUGAAAGGGGCGUAUAGGUGAAGUCCUCAUUCAUAGCUUGUUUAAACCGUGAUACACAAAACCUAGUAUUACAAAGGUCAUGAGACCUGUUCAUGUUCCCUGUCACGUUCCUGAAGUAAAGCAGCUGAAACUCACUGUGCUGUGUUGGUUGCUGCAAAGGGUAGUUUGGUUCUAGCAGAAAUGGGGUUGAGUUUAAAGAAUCCAUUACCAAUUGAAAUGGUUUUAUUACUAGUGUUAUCACUAGUGUUGAUAGUGCUGUUAGUGUUGAUCAUUCUCAUUAGUAGUAGCUGGAGUGUUUACAGGUUUUAGUAACAGUAGUAAGGUUGAUAAUAGUAGUAAUGAUUGUAGUAGUAAUACACUGAGGUUUAUAUUCUUGAGCCACAGGCUUUUAUUCAAAGCUAAAAAUAUAAUGUAAUAGAAAUAGAUUUUUUAAAUUCAUAACUACAGCUUAUUUUUUUCAAAACUGGUCAAGGUGGUUCUGAAACAGAAGUUGGUGAAAAAUGGACCUGACUUUACUGAUUUAAAGAAAAUAUUAUUGAAUAAAUAUUAAUAAAAAUAUAUUUUCAUUGCAGUCACCGGAGAAAAUAAGAUCCCAUCUGAAACCAGGCACAGUGCAAAAGUCCUGCUACUGAAUAAAAAUUAUUAAUCACCCAUAAGCCAAAGUCAAAAGUCCCAUAAAUUGUCACACACUGAUGUGUGCGAAAUUUGUUCUCUGCAUUUGACCCAUCCCCUGGGGGAGCAGUGAGCUGCAGACACUAUCGGGAACUCUUUGGUGGCUUAACCCCCCAAUCCAACCCCUUAAUGCUGAAUGUCAAGCAGGGAGGCAUUGGGUUCCAUUUUUUCAAAGUCUUUGGUAUGACCCGACCAGGAAUGGAACCCUGAUCUCCCAGUCUGAGGGCGGACUCUCUACCACGAGGCCACUGAUAUUUAUAUGAAUGGGUUCCUUAACAAGCAUGAAACUUCCAAAUCACAUCAUUAGACAUGUUUAAUUAUUAUGAGUCCAAGACAUGCAGACAAGAAAAAACAAAAGGAUAGUGACAAAGUCAUAAAACAUUUAACUUGUUUAGUUAGUGAACAAAGAUUAGACAUCAUGGUUAAAGCUCAUAUCAAAAUUUUUAUAAUUUAAAAAAUAAAUAAAAAUAAUAAGCAGGCUGCAUAUUGGUAAUGAAUUAAACAAGUAUGGAGAUUUGUCUACACAUCCUUGGCAGCUAGAGUCUUUACAGAGAAUAAACAGUUUUAGGAAAAGCAACAAAAGUUUUUAAAGAAAGUAUGCUCCUCAUACACAACAUAUGUUGUUUUGUUCAUCCUUAGUAGGGAUUAGAUUUUCUGCAGUUUUUAGGUACAGUAAGCAACAUGAAUGAUACACUAAUAUACAACGCUGCUUUUGGGCAUGACGGUUCUCGUGAUGGAGAGUCCAGCACCUUCAGAUUAUGCAAAAGGUGGGAGAGCAGAGGUUAUCGCACCAGACUGGACUCAAAAUGCAGAAUGUACAAAGAUGCUGCUGAGCCAGUCUGGCACAGAAAAAUGGGAAGCAAGAAUCUGGUAAGUGGACGAUGUGAAAUAUGUGGUGGCAAAAACAAAAAUUACUGGACAGCAAUAAAACAUGAAAUUGUACGUCGCUUUGGAUGAAAGUGUCUGCCAAAUAAAUAAACAUAAAACAUACUUGCACCUUCAGAGCAUCGCCCAUGUUGUUAACCAACUGUCCUCUUGUCAUGCAAGUUCCAUAGAAAGGUAAUUACUAAGGUCAAUGACAGAUUUAACAUUUUUUGAAAGAUUUCAAGUCUGUGGUCAACAUUUGACUAGCUUAACAGUUUUAUUUGAAUUUGAUGGACAGGUGUCAUUUGAAUACCAAAACUCCAGUUCUUCUCCUGAACUGGAAAGGUUUAUUGUAAUAUCUUAAGUGCACCAGUCAACAGAAUGGGGGAUCCCUUUUUGGUGCACCAUCUGUAAUGUUGAGAGUAUGCAGAAAUAAAAAUGUAUUUUGUUAAUAACUACUUUGUGUUUUAAGAACUAACCGUAACAGUCUUCCAUAAAUAAAAACUAAUAUCACUGCAAUAAACACCCAGUAAAGAGUUUCAAGUAGAAAAGUUUAACUGCAUCAGGUCCUGGCAGCUAAGACCCUAUUUUUUUAUUAUAUAUUUUUUUAUUAUUACAUGUUGUUAACCACCUGCAUGCAAGCUCACUAGAAAAGUCAUUCUGUAAUAAAAAAAAAAGUUUAUCAUCACUCUAUUAAAAAAAUUAAGUCUCUAUUCAACAUUUAUCUAACAUGGCUACCAUUCAGUUUUAUUAGAAUUUGAUUGACAGGUAUAAUUUAAAUACCCCAAUGCCAGUUCUUCCAAGCUACAUUUAAAAAAUCUCAUUAGCCAAGAUGGUUUAGGCAUCCUCUGGUAGGAUGUUUGUUGAAUUUCUCCUGGGGAAGGAGUCUCAGACAUGUCCUAAUGGUAAUAAUAAUAAAGAAUUAGAUUUAAAGCCCUUUUAGAGGCAGCCAAAGAGCUUUCCAAUAUUCACACACUCGCACAUUCACACGUUGUUGAAGUGGAAUGCUUCAUAAUAUGUUGAUUGUUGUCUUUUCUGCUGUUUUUACUGCAGCUUGUGUGUUCAAACCAUUAAACUGAAAAGUAUAAUGAGGUAAAGUGGUGUAAUGGAGGAUUAACGCAACACUAACUGAAAACUACUGCCCAGCAUUUAUGAUUCAAGACAAGGUUGCUCCAUAUUCUGGUGGAUCACAGUUUCUUCUGACAUCUCCUGAAGUUUUUGACCCUUGAGAAAAUGAAGAUCGUCAUCUUGAUUGCUGUAACUCUUAUGGUAAUCUUAGCAACAGAAAUUAAUGAAGCAUACGAAUUUGGGGACAUAAUUGCUUUCGAAGGAAAGUUAUACAAGCACUAUGGUGUUUAUGUAGGAACUACAGAGUUCUCUGAAAAAAAGCUAGAUGAAGACUACUUUCACUUCACAGGUAAAGCAUCUGUUGAUAACUUUAAACCUGCAGAGUUGAAUCUAUAAAAAUGAUUCUGUUUUUUUCUUGUGAAUGUGUACUUUUAUGUGAAAAAAAACCUACAAGUUUCUGAACAUAUUUUAUCUAUAUAUACAAAAUACACAACAUAAAUAUUUGGUCUUUCAGUAAUAUAACUACAAAGUACCAACCCGUAAUGAUUUUGGGGUAUGCAGUUGUCUUUAAAAUAACUGUGCUUUCACAUUGAUGACUGGUACCAUCAGAUCGUACUUCCUACAAACGAUUUCAAAAUUACCAAAUCUUGGACAUUUGUCAGAGUCCCAACCCAAAUGUGUAUUUGGAAGUCUAAAAAAUGAAAAUAAGCAUGAGCUAGACAAUUAUCUGGAUGGAAUCUUGUACAGUCAAGAUGAACUAAAGAAAGAUGAAAAGAACAUGAAAAGCCAAAUUGAGAAGUAUGGAGCUACAGAGCAUGCUCUUUGGACCUACAACUGUGAGCACCUUGCCACUUAUGUGCGUUAUGGAAUCAAAAAUCCUUGCAGGUACGUGACUGGUAUGAACUUCAUGACUGAAGCUUUUUUUUUUGUUUGUUUUUUUAAUUAAUUUUUUCACCCUGUCCUGUAAUAUUUCAUAAACUCAGGUUUUAACAGGUAUGUGAUACUAGAUCAUAAAUGUUUGCAUUAAAUACUAUUAGGUCAUGGAUAUUAUUACAGCCCAAGUUACAUUUAGGGUGUACCUUUUUUAUUUGGUGAAUUGUGGAAAAAUAGUGAAUAAAAUAGAUUGUUCUUAAGGUGGUCAGUAGACUGUAACCACUAAGAAUAUCAAUUUUGAUGUUGUGAUUAUUUGAUGAUUACAUUUUUUAAUAUAUUUUGAUCAUGAUAAUAGUGUGGCCAGAUUGAGAACGUAUGUGAAUUUGUUUUUGUCUACAGUGUGGUCGGAGGCUUGCUUCACACUUUGUCCAGAAUCCAGGUGUUGACCAGAAACUUAUAAAACAACUUAAAGAAGCUAUUAAAGGAGCACAAGGCUGUUCCUGCCCUUUCAUCGAUGUGUGACCAGAGCGCUCAGGGAAAACUAAUAAUAGUGUGUCUACUGAGUUGUUGCAGUUUCUUUCACAGCAUCAUGUGUAAUCCAUAAAUACCAUGGCAUCACAAUUAAUAGUCUCCAGGUGCUUUGUCUUAAUUUAGUUUUGACAACAGGGAGUAGUAGGUACUAACUUUUCAUUUGAUUUUCAUUCUGUCAUAUAAAAAAAAAGUUUUAAUUGGAAUUUGGCCUGAACAUUUUAGAUUCACAGACACUUAAUUUAUUUAGCUAUAUUUGUAGAAUGUUACACAUGAACAAUGUAAUUCAAAUCAAUCCUCUGGAUACCAAAGUUGUUUUCCACCUGAAAGCUACACGUAUAACCACGUGUAGAUCCCAAAAUCUCAUCAAAAAGCUUCUAUCCUUUAAACAGCCAAACAUAGCAUCAGGAUUAGGACCGUCAUCAUCAAUCACCCAUGUCCAGUCCUAUAUAUGUCUAUUGACCUCUGGUGAAGUAUCUACAGCUCCCAAG
Non-coding RNA from Nothobranchius furzeri (turquoise killifish), 10361 nucleotides. NCBI's taxonomy places the organism in Eukaryota, Metazoa, Chordata, Actinopteri, Cyprinodontiformes, Nothobranchiidae. The record is from RefSeq and is a predicted model, not a curated record.